GCCGGAGUGGCGAAAUUGGUAGACGCGCUGGACUCAAAAUCCAGUUCACCUCACGGUGAGUGUGGGUUCGACUCCCUCCUCCGGCA
Molecule: transfer RNA, 86 nt
Filed under: Candidatus Aminicenantota bacterium
Lineage: Bacteria; Candidatus Aminicenantota
Also listed under: 1 other name
Description: Candidatus Aminicenantes bacterium tRNA-Leu
Rfam family: tRNA
About the family: Transfer RNA (tRNA) molecules are approximately 80 nucleotides in length.
Source: RNAcentral